This 487-nucleotide ribosomal RNA is filed under the name uncultured bacterium. RNAcentral's name for it is "SSU rRNA". It matches the Rfam family "Bacterial small subunit ribosomal RNA", at positions 26 to 521 of the family's 1533-position model. The record is from RNAcentral.
AGGACGAACGCUGGCGGCGUGCUUCACACAUGCAAGUCGAACGGGGCUCAUUCGGUGGUAACACCGGAGAAGGCCUAGUGGCGAACGGGUGCGUAACACGUGAAGAACCUGCCCCGAAGACUGGGAUAACAGCGGGAAACCGCUGCUAAUACCGGAUGACCCCACCAGGCCGCAUGGCCAGGUGAGGAAAUGGGCCUACCGCUUCGGGAGGGCUUCGCGGCCUAUCAGCUUGUUGGUGGGGUAACGGCCUACCAAGGCUACGACGGGUAGCUGGUCUGAGAGGACGACCAGCCACACUGGGACUGAGACACGGCCCAGACUCCUACGGGAGGCAGCAGUGGGGAAUCUUGCGCAAUGGGCGAAAGCCUGACGCAGCAACGCCGCGUGAGGGAUGAAGGUCUCGGGUUGUAAACCUCUUUCGAGCAGGGACGAUUGUGACGGUACCUGCAGAAGAAGCUCCGGCCAACUACGUGCCAGCAGCCGCGGU